GGAGGUAUAGCUCAGUGGUAGAGUGCAUGCUUAGCAUGCAUGAGGUACUGGGUUCAAUCCCCAGUACCUCCA
Molecule: transfer RNA, 72 nt
Filed under: Camelus bactrianus (Bactrian camel)
Lineage: Eukaryota; Metazoa; Chordata; Mammalia; Artiodactyla; Camelidae
Also listed under: 2 other names
Rfam family: tRNA
About the family: Transfer RNA (tRNA) molecules are approximately 80 nucleotides in length.
Source: Rfam by way of RNAcentral